This 240-nucleotide unclassified non-coding RNA is filed under the name soil metagenome. Its description in RNAcentral is "partial contains 5.8S ribosomal RNA, internal transcribed spacer 2, and large subunit ribosomal RNA". The record is from RNAcentral.
AACAAGGCGUACCUGCGGACCUGCGGAGGGAUCAUUACAGAGUUCGUGCCCUUGCGGGUAGAUCUCCCACCCUUGUGUAUUUUCUACAUUUUGUUGCUUUGGCAGGCCGUUGGUUCGCCAACCACCGGCUCACGGGCUGGUGCGUGCCUGCCAGAGGACCUCUCAAACUCGGUUUGUUAGUGUUGUCUGAGUACCAUAACAAUCGUUAAAACUUUUAACAACGGAUCUCAGAUCGGAAGA